This 418-nucleotide ribosomal RNA is filed under the name Bimastos rubidus. RNAcentral's name for it is "partial large subunit ribosomal RNA". It matches the Rfam family "Bacterial large subunit ribosomal RNA", at positions 1965 to 2620 of the family's 2925-position model. Lineage: Eukaryota; Metazoa; Annelida; Clitellata; Crassiclitellata; Lumbricidae. The record is from RNAcentral.
CACUUNGCCCAUUAAUUGUGGGCUAGAAUGAAAGGACCAACGAAAUAAAUACUGUCUCUAUAAGUAUUAUAAAAAUUAAUCUCUAACUGAAGAGUGUUAGAUAAAAUCNAAGGACAAGAAGACCCUAUAGAGCUUUAUUUAAUAAAAGUGUUCAAACUUUUCAUAAUUCGGUUGGGGCGACCAGGGAAGUAAUAAAUCAUCCCUAUCUAUAAGAUUAAUAAAUCUCCUAUAUGACCCUUAAUAAAGAUCACAAAAUCAAGCUACCUUAGGGAUAACAGGCUAAUCCUAUUAGAGAGUUCUUAUCAAUAAUGGGGUUUGGCACCUCNAUGUUGGCUUANGGAAUCUAUACNGCGCAAAACUCGUAUAAAGAUGGUUUGUUCAACCCANAACACCCUACGUGAUCUGAGUUCAGACCGGA